UAAUUCCAUAAUGAAUUUAAGUUCAGUCUAUUACUAUUAAAAUAUAAAAAUAAAUUUAUUUUAAAAACACUAUUACAUAUUCAAUAUAUUAAAAAUACUUAACUCAUAUAAUAGAUAAAUUAACAGUGCCAGCAGUCGCGGUUAUACUUUAUAUCAUUUGAACUUCAAAUAAUUAAUAUUAAAAUAUUUAUUUAUAUAAAAAUAUAAAGUGAAAUUUUUAUUUUAAAUUUAAAAAUAAAUUUAAUUAACUUAAAUUUUAGACUAAAAAUAGGAUUAGAAACCCUAGUAUACUACAAUCAUCUUAGGAAGUAAUAAUUAUUAAAACCUAAUUAUAAAAUGGCGGCUUUCAUUUCAUUAGAGGAACUUGUUGUAUAAUCGACAACCCCCGAUAAAUUUCACUUUAAAAGAAAAUUUGUAUAUCGCCAUCUAAAGAAAUAUUUUCAAAAAUUUCUCUCAAUAAAUUAUAAAAAGUUAGGUCAAGGUGCAGUCUAUAUUAAAGAAACUAAUGAGUUACAUCAAACCAAAUUUAAGGACAUUAUAAUCUAAAGAUUUUUAGAAAAAGGAUUUAUAAGUAUAAACUUAAUAAUAUUUUAACUUGAAUUUCUUUACGGAAGUGCACAUAUCGCCCGUCACCCUUAUUACAAAAUAAGGCAAGUCGUAACACAGUUGAUAUUUUGGAAAAAGUAUCAAG
RNAcentral lists this non-coding RNA (691 nucleotides) under Habronattus oregonensis. Lineage: Eukaryota; Metazoa; Arthropoda; Arachnida; Araneae; Salticidae. The record is from RNAcentral.